RNAcentral lists this long non-coding RNA (550 nucleotides) under Vulpes vulpes (red fox). Its description in RNAcentral is "lncRNA (ENSVVUG00000008279.1)". Lineage: Eukaryota; Metazoa; Chordata; Mammalia; Carnivora; Canidae. The record is from RNAcentral.
GAACAUUCCAAACCAACUGUCACAUGACAGCUCUGCCAAGAGUUAGCUUCCCUUCAACUGACCAACCCUGGCCAACCAGUUACUGUGAAUUAGCCAGGAAAGUGGCCACCAGGGCUGGUGCUUUGGUGGCUUAAUGGGUGAAGUCUGGGACACUCAAGGUCUCACUGACAAUGAAUCUGAGCAGCCAUCCGGGCAGUCUGGACUAAGAUGGUCCGCUCCAUACCAACAGCCUGGGAGCCCACCCCUGGACUCUCCCUGAGGAUCACCGGACCCUCAUUGCUUCUGCUACCAAAUGUUCAUUCCAGCAACCGGAUGGCACUGUCCCUUCUUACCAACGUCCCAGGCAGACAAGAACAGAGCCAGAAACCCGAGGACCUGGGUUCAGAGGGACACAGGCCCAGCUGCUGAUGAGUGGACUGGAGCCAUGGAGACACCCUGGCCUUGCCCUGCAUGGAGCCCUCUACUGCCCUGGCAUCCUGAGUCCUGGGGACUUGGGGGCAAUGGAGGCAGGGCCCUUAGCUGGACACAGUGCAGAUGGAGCAGAACAUGA